RNAcentral lists this ribosomal RNA (423 nucleotides) under uncultured bacterium. RNAcentral's name for it is "bacterial SSU rRNA". It matches the Rfam family "Bacterial small subunit ribosomal RNA", at positions 207 to 622 of the family's 1533-position model. The record is from RNAcentral.
AAGACCUUGCGCUUUUGGAGCGGCCGAUGUCUGAUUAGCUAGUUGGUGGGGUAAUGGCCUACCAAAGCUUCGAUCAGUAGCUGGUCUGAGAGGACGGCCAGCCACACUGGGACUGAGACACGGCCCAGACUCCUACGGGAGGCAGCAGUGGGGAAUUUUGGACAAUGGGCGCAAGCCUGAUCCAGCCAUGCCGCGUGAGUGAAGAAGGCCUUCGGGUUGUAAAGCUCUUUCAGCCGGGAAGAAAAGGUUGCGAUUAAUAAUCGCAAUUGAUGACGGUACCGGAAGAAGAAGCACCGGCUAACUACGUGCCAGCAGCCGCGGUAAUACGUAGGGUGCGAGCGUUAAUCGGAAUUACUGGGCGUAAAGGGUGCGCAGGCGGUUUUGUAAGUCAGAUGUGAAMUCCCCGGGCUUAACCUGGGAACU